UUUAAUUUAUGGGAAAAACCUGGAUAACACGUUGAAUUAUUUUUAGAAAUUGAUCUGACAAUUUCUUCUUCCAGUGAUCAACAACACUGGAUUUGCAUCAAUGGGAUCUCUCAUGUCUAGUUUACACCUUUUAAGAAGAAAAUGAAUGAAUUGCUUUUCAUUGCAGUGCAGUAUAUAAUUCUUUCAGCAGAACUUCAUUUUGCCAAGCAAGUGUAACCAUAGUUAAGAGUUUCUCACUAGAGAAUGAUAAAAGAAUUUGAAUUCGUCUCCAUGAUCAGUCCGAUUGAUAAUUAUGCCAUUCUUUUGUGUGACUCGUGGGUGUCGAAGCCGGAGCACCUGCUCAUCGGUUAGAAGUAGCAUCUGCUGCAGUGUUGAUGCUAGGUUUACCAUUUUCACUGGUGAGAUUGCUUAAUUGGCCAUUGAAUUCUACUCCAUAGAUAUGACCCAUUUUAGCACGUUUGGUCUCCAGAUACCUCUUGUUUUCCUUUGU
This 490-nucleotide unclassified non-coding RNA is filed under the name Hevea brasiliensis (rubber tree). Lineage: Eukaryota; Viridiplantae; Streptophyta; Magnoliopsida; Malpighiales; Euphorbiaceae. The record is from RNAcentral.